Molecule: non-coding RNA, 1056 nt
Filed under: Pan troglodytes (chimpanzee)
Lineage: Eukaryota; Metazoa; Chordata; Mammalia; Primates; Hominidae
Source: RNAcentral
AUUACAUGUUAUUCUUAACACCUGCCACUUCUCUCUUCCCACCUCUAUCUGCCUUAUUGAACUUCAUCUUUCCUUCAUUCUCUUCAACUUCCACUUCUUCUUGUAUGGUCCUGUUGAUGCCAUCUUGUUUCCGUCCCCAGACUCAUCAUCUUUACCCUCUGUCAACUGAGUUCCCACCCUGGUUCUCUCUCAAGAUCUUCCUCUCAUAGCUUUCACCCUUGGUAAACAAUGAGGACACAUCUCAAAAAGAAUGAUGUAAUUUAAUUGCCUUGAGUUGGCUGGGCCAUCAUCUAUUAUAAAGUGCUCUUAAAAUUAAAGCUAAUUUAAUUCUGAAGAACGAAGGAUUAAGAAGUUAAGAGCUGGGGUUCUUACAAUAUGGCUUGCAGACUGCAAGUGUGAACUGAGGAGGUCCCCAAAGUCACUUCUUACUAAGUGAAAGCGGUGUAAAUGGCUCUUAUCUGAACCACAAUGAAUUCACAUAUUCAAGUUGGCUUCUUCGGAAAUUUCAGGCCACAAAUGGCAGUGAUGCGACCAGGAGCAGUAACAUGAUUACAAGUUGCAAUUUAGGAAGGGUGCUCCAUCAUCAUUUCAUGAUUCUCACUACAGCCCAGACAGGCGGGCAGAGCAGUGUUCUUUCCCCUUUAAUGAAUGAAGAAGCUGAGCCUCAAACAGAUGAGGGGGCUUCCUGGGUUCACAUAGCUCUAAAGGGCUGAGCUGUAGUAGAUCCACGGCCACCAUGAUGAGCUAAGAGUUUCUGGAUUCGGUGCCUGCUGUUGCUCCUGGAGAUUUGUAUCCUGAUUGAAGGCUGGUUCCAUAUCUGUUCACCCAGUCACCUUUAAAAUUAAGUCCUGGGCACAAAUCAUUAGUCUGGCAAGUUACAUCACUGUGCCACUUCCAUCCGGACAGAAGGAACCCAGGUCAAGGCUGACAGGAGGAGCAGGAGCCGUCAAUGAGAGCAGACCUCAGAAGCCAACGGAGGUGAGAGGAGCACCAUCCACAGCCCCAUCCUCUGACUGCUGUGGGAGGAAGUCCACAAAAUACCACUCCUUGGAGUCA